UACGUAGGGGGCAAGCGUUAUCCGGAAUCAUUGGGCGUAAAGAGCGUGUAGGCGGCCAGAUAAGUCCGCUGUGAAAUCUCGAGGCUCAACUUCGAGCUGUCGGUGGAAACUGUCUGGCUAGAGUCCGGAAGAGGAGAAUGGAAUUCCUGGUGUAGCGGUGAAAUGUGUAGAGAUCGGGAGGAACACCGGUGGCGAAGGCGGGUCUCUGGGCAUCUCCUGACGCUGAGGCGCGAAAGCGUGGGGAGCAAACGGG
Molecule: ribosomal RNA, 253 nt
Filed under: uncultured bacterium
Lineage: Bacteria
Description: partial 16S ribosomal RNA
Rfam family: Bacterial small subunit ribosomal RNA
Source: RNAcentral